CGACACUGUGUGUUGUUGGGUAGGGGAGCGUUCUGUAAGCCUGUGAAGGUGUGUCGUGAGGCAUGCUGGAGGUAUCAGAAGUGCGAAUGCUGACAUAAGUAACGAUAAAGCGGGUGAAAAGCCCGCUCGCCGGAAGACCAAGGGUUCCUGUCCAACGUUAAUCGGGGCAGGGUGAGUCGACCCCUAAGGCGAGGCCGAAAGGCGUAGUCGAUGGGAAACGGGUUAAUAUUCCCGUACUUGGUGUUACUGCGAAGGGGGGACGGAGAAGGCUAUGUUGGCCGGGCGACGGUUGUCCCGGUUUAAGCGUGUAGGUGUGUGUUCCAGGUAAAUCCGGUUCACUUUAACACUGAGGCGUGACGACGAGGCACUACGGUGCUGAAGCAACAAAUGCCCUGCUUCCAGGAAAAGCCUCUAAGCAUCAGGUAACAUCAAAUCGUACCCCAAACCGACACAGGUGGUCAGGUAGAGAAUACCAAGGCGCUUGAGAGAACUCGGGUGAAGGAACUAGGCAAAAUGGUGCCGUAACUUCGGGAGAAGGCACGCUGACACGUAGGUGAAGUGAUUUACUCAUGGAGCUGAAGUCAGUCGAAGAUACCAGCUGGCUGCAACUGUUUAUUAAAAACACAGCACUGUGCAAACACGAAAGUGGACGUAUACGGUGUGACGCCUGCCCGGUGCCGGAAGGUUAAUUGAUGGGGUCAGCGCAAGCGAAGCUCCUGAUCGAAGCCCCGGUAAACGGCGGCCGUAACUAUAACGGUCCUAAGGUAGCGAAAUUCCUUGUCGGGUAAGUUCCGACCUGCACGAAUGGCGUAAUGAUGGCCAGGCUGUCUCCACCCGAGACUCAGUGAAAUUGAACUCGCUGUGAAGAUGCAGUGUACCCGCGGCAAGACGGAAAGACCCCGUGAACCUUUACUAUAGCUUGACACUGAACAUUGAGCCUUGAUGUGUAGGAUAGGUGGGAGGCUUUGAAGUGUGGACGCCAGUCUGCAUGGAGCCGACCUUGAAAUACCACCCUUUAAUGUUUGAUGUUCUAACGUGGACCCGUUACCCGGGUUGCGGACAGUGUCUGGUGGGUAGUUUGACUGGGGCGGUCUCCUCCUAAAGAGUAACGGAGGAGCACGAAGGUUGGCUAAUCCUGGUCGGACAUCAGGAGGUUAGUGCAAUGGCAUAAGCCAGCUUGACUGCGAGCGUGACGGCGCGAGCAGGUGCGAAAGCAGGUCAUAGUGAUCCGGUGGUUCUGAAUGGAAGGGCCAUCGCUCAACGGAUAAAAGGUACUCCGGGGAUAACAGGCUGAUACCGCCCAAGAGUUCAUAUCGACGGCGGUGUUUGGCACCUCGAUGUCGGCUCAUCACAUCCUGGGGCUGAAGUAGGUCCCAAGGGUAUGGCUGUUCGCCAUUUAAAGUGGUACGCGAGCUGGGUUUAGAACGUCGUGAGACAGUUCGGUCCCUAUCUGCCGUGGGCGCUGGAGAACUGAGGGGGGCUGCUCCUAGUACGAGAGGACCGGAGUGGACGCAUCACUGGUGUUCGGGUUGUCAUGCCAAUGGCACUGCCCGGUAGCUAAAUGCGGAAGAGAUAAGUGCUGAAAGCAUCUAAGCACGAAACUUGCCCCGAGAUGAGUUCUCCCUGAGACUUAGAGUCUCCUGAAGGAACGUUGAAGACGACGACGUUGAUAGGCCGGGUGUGUAAGCGCAGCGAUGCGUUGAGCUAACCGGUACUAAUGAACCGUGAGGCUUAACCUU
RNAcentral lists this ribosomal RNA (1739 nucleotides) under Salmonella enterica. RNAcentral's name for it is "partial 23S ribosomal RNA". It matches the Rfam family "Bacterial large subunit ribosomal RNA", at positions 1209 to 2925 of the family's 2925-position model. The record is from RNAcentral. Lineage: Bacteria; Pseudomonadati; Pseudomonadota; Gammaproteobacteria; Enterobacterales; Enterobacteriaceae.